AAGGAUGAAAUCCAAAAAAUAAACGAAAGGAUGCGCUGCUGUGUGUACUGUAGAGCCUGACGAUGUCGGCAGGCUCUAUUUUUUU
This 85-nucleotide small RNA is filed under the name uncultured Phytobacter sp. The record is from RNAcentral. Lineage: Bacteria; Pseudomonadati; Pseudomonadota; Gammaproteobacteria; Enterobacterales; Enterobacteriaceae.